Molecule: long non-coding RNA, 857 nt
Organism: Spinacia oleracea (spinach)
Lineage: Eukaryota; Viridiplantae; Streptophyta; Magnoliopsida; Caryophyllales; Amaranthaceae
Exons: 3
Source: RefSeq, a predicted model, not a curated record
AUUAUCUAGGCUAACUAAACCCUAAACCUCGUCCAAGUAUAAAUGUCCCAUAUUCAAGACAUUCUCCUCCAUGCCGUUGUAUUAUAUUUACCUCAAAUAUUAUUUCUCUUUUCUCCAGAUUCACCAUUAUCACCGGUGCAAUAAUUCGUACCACCUAAAACACCUUCACAACCACCAACAAAUCCUAAGCAAUUGAAAUUUCGUAAAGACGUUCUUUAACCGGUGAUCCCGAAACAAUCAUUAUUGUUCUAUCUUUCCUCGAUCCCUUACUUCUUGUGAGUUAGUCAUUUCUUUCUAGCCAUUGAUUACUACCAUAUUCUAUUUUUCCUUCUGGUAUAGCCAUCCCCAACCUGUAGAACUUACAACCGAGGUCCAAGGUUGUUCACAGACGAAGGCUACUUAGGGAUCAGUCGGAUCAAGCAAGGAAGUUAUUACUGUAGUAUGGAAUUCGCGUGCUCAAGAUGACCAUUGUCUACAGGUAUCUUUGAUUUCAUAGGUUGCUUCGAGUGAGGACGACAGUAAUAAAUGUGAAUGUAUUUCAGAAAAAGGGUUUUCCAAUCAUAAAUUUCUUAAUAAUUAAUUUAUUUUAUGAGUUGUAUUUUCAAGUCCUAAUUUGGUUAACGUAAAGAGUUUUGUAAUCUUAAUUAAUCUUUUUUUAUCGAUCUUGAGAUUUUUUUUAGCCUUGCAUUUGCUCUUAGGUAAAUGCGGCAGUGAUACUCCGAUUCUCUGUCAUUGCUUCCGCUUAUGUUUAAGAAUACACAGGUUUAUUGGUGUUGUCAAAUGUAACAGGAUUUUAAAUAUCCCAUUUUUGGGUUUUGUUCAAUUUACAAAGGAAACUCUGUCGAAUUUAUACUUGA